UACGUAGGGGGCUAGCGUUGUCCGGAAUCAUUGGGCGUAAAGAGCGUGUAGGCGGUUCGGUAAGUCCGCUGUGAAAGUCCAGGGCUCAACCCUGGAAUGCCAGUGGAAACUGUCGAGCUAGAGUCCGGAAGAGGCGAGUGGAAUUCCUGGUGUAGCGGUGAAAUGCGCAGAUAUCGGGAAGAACACCCGUGGCGAAGGCGGCUCUCUGGGACGGUACUGACGCUGAGACGCGAAAGCGUGGGGAGCGAACAGG
RNAcentral lists this ribosomal RNA (253 nucleotides) under uncultured bacterium. RNAcentral's name for it is "partial 16S ribosomal RNA". It matches the Rfam family "Bacterial small subunit ribosomal RNA", at positions 524 to 776 of the family's 1533-position model. The record is from RNAcentral.